GGCUCCGGCCCUCUCAGCCUGAAGGCGCCCGAUCUCGUCUGAUCUCGGAAGCUAAGCACGGUCGGGCCUGGUUAGGAUCUUGGAUGGGAGACCACCUGGGAAUCCCGGGUGCUCGAGGCU
Non-coding RNA from Bos taurus (domestic cattle), 120 nucleotides. NCBI's taxonomy places the organism in Eukaryota, Metazoa, Chordata, Mammalia, Artiodactyla, Bovidae. The record is from Rfam.